Molecule: non-coding RNA, 1834 nt
Organism: Elaeis guineensis (African oil palm)
Lineage: Eukaryota; Viridiplantae; Streptophyta; Magnoliopsida; Arecales; Arecaceae
Source: RefSeq, a predicted model, not a curated record
GUAAUAAAUCUCGCGGUAAGCCGUCGCUUGGAAGCAAUUGGAUCGUCUCCUUGGGCACCAAGUCUUGAAGACGGUGUCUUCUUUCUCUCCAUCUUCUGCCCCUCGGACGCGGAGUCAGAGAGGUAUACUGUGAGUUCUAAGCGGCCAAGAUCUCCCAAACCAAGAGAUAAAACCUUCUUUUGGGUUUAAUCCAAGGCUUGAAAUCUUGUCUUUCGAAACCGGGUCUCUUGGGGUCAUUCUUCUUUAUUUCUUGUUUGGAUUGCUUUGAUUUGGAGAUCGUAGGGCUUUGUGGGAGUUGGAAAUAUGUUGGGAGAUCUCGCCACCAGAGUUCUCGUGAUGUUGUUUGGAUAUGCCUAUCCGGCAUUUGAGUGCUUCAAGACGUUGGAGCAGAGGCAGUCGCCCGGUGAGGUUGAACAGCUCCGGUUCUGGUGCCAAUACUGGGUCAUAGUCGCAAUUGUAACAAUCAUUGAGAGAUUUGGCGACCCUCUCGUUUCAUGGUUGCCAAUGUAUGGAGAAGCCAAGUUAGCUUUCUUUGUCUACUUGUGGUAUCCAAAAACGAAGGGAUCUGAUCUUAUCUAUGAUACCUUCCUUCGGCCACUUGUGAUGCAAUAUGAACCUGACAUUGAACAGAGGUUAAGGCAUUUGAGGGCUAAAUCCGGAGAAUUGCUUGUCUUCUAUUUAAAGAACUUCACAGAUAAAGGAACUACUUUGUUUCUAGAGGUUCUCAACUAUGUGGUCUCUGGGGCAUCAAGCACAAAGGGGAACCUACGGUCAGGAUCGUCCAGCCGCUGGAACCCUCUUGCUGCCCUACGGUCAUUCCGGCAGUCUCCGGCCACAGAAGCAGGCGCCCACGGCAACCGCACCGCCGAGGAGUUGGAAGAAGACGACGUCCCCCGCCUACACCCACGUGCCCCACAUCGCCGAUCCCGACCCCACCAAUAGAAUAUAUAUAUAUAUAUAUAGCAGAAAUAGAAUAGUAGUGGGUGGGGAUUAGCACCUGUUUUUUUUUUUUGCCCCUUGAAAUCUAAACGUUAUCCUCUAGAGAGAAAAAAAAAAAAAUGAAAUCCCAAUGCUUGUCUAUCCUUUCUAUGUACAAAAAAACUUAAUAAAAGAAUAAAAGGAAUAAAAGACAUAAGGAACUCGCGCCGCCGUUGGUGUCGUCACCGUUAACGACGGAUGGAUUGGAAGAAGACUCCGACUAAGUCGAAGCAGGAGCCAGCAAGGCCGCAGGAGAGGCCGGCGAGGAGCCGCCGGAUGGGGCCGCGAUGGCGGCGGCUGCGGGAGGACUCCAACGAGGAGGGGGUAGGCUGUAGGUAGGCAUAGGCAGCCUGCUUCACCAGCCGGUUCCUGAUCUGGAUCUCGCCGGCACCGGUGGCGGCGGAGGCGGAGGGUGAGACGAGGCCACCACCGGCGGAGGAGGAGGUGAGAAUGUCGCGUAGGCUGGUGUAGCCCAUGUCCGCCCUGCUCCACUGCCGCAGGUCGAAGUCUCCGCCGCCGUUGAGGUCGAGCACAGCCGGGAUCGAUAUGGCCGGCCGCCGGAGGGGGCGCUUCGCCUCCAGCCGCGGCGUGGGCAUGACAAGCGUGCGGAAGAAAGCAAGAAAGAUGGAGAGAGAGAAAGAGAGGAGAAGAUGGAGCGAGGCGAGCUUGAGGGGAAAGCAUUUAGAGAAAAUUUAUGAAGGAAGGGGAUUAGGAUUGAAAACGGAAGAAUUUUUAAACUAGACUAGAUUAGGGAAAUAUUCCAAAGAUUUGGAAAAUCUUGUAGCUUGUAGAUGAGGACGAAUCAGGACCGUCGGAUGUAAUUACCAAAUAAGAUGAUGAAAAGAUGCUUCUAUUA